Molecule: ribosomal RNA, 299 nt
Filed under: uncultured Dialister sp.
Lineage: Bacteria; Bacillati; Bacillota; Negativicutes; Veillonellales; Veillonellaceae
Description: partial 16S ribosomal RNA
Rfam family: Bacterial small subunit ribosomal RNA
Source: RNAcentral
UUAACACAUGCAAGUCGAACGAAAAGAGGGAAAGAGCUUGCUCUUUCCGGAAUUGAGUGGCAAACGGGUGAGUAACACGUAAACAACCUGCCUUCAGGAUGGGGACAACAGACGGAAACGACUGCUAAUACCGAAUAAGUUCCAAGAGCCGCAUGGCUCUCGAUUUAAAAUUCCGGUGGUACGGGACGGGCACGCGCGACAUUAGGUAGUUGGCGGGGUAACGGCCCACCAAGCCGACGAUGUCUAGGGGUUCUGAGAGGAAGGUCCCCACACUGGAACUGAGACACGGUCCAGACUCC